AGAACAGUGGACAAUCAGGUUAACAUGAUGGAUUACAGAACAGUUCUACUGUUGUUAAUUAUCUGCUGGACAGGUGUUGAUGGUCAGACAUUGACAGAAUCUGAAUCAGUGGUAAAGAGACCAGGAGAAUCCCACAAACUGACCUGUACAGCCUCUGGAUUCACAUUCAGUGACUAUGGAAUACACUGGGUCAGACAGGCUCCUGGAAAAGGACUGGAGUGGAUUGCACUUGUCAGUAAACCUACUGGUAGCACCCAACGCUACUCUCAGUCAGUUCAAGGCCGGUUCACCAUCUCCAGAGACAACAGCAAACAGCAGGUGUAUCUGCAGAUGAACAGUCUGAAAACUGAAGAUUCUGCUGUUUAUUAUUGUGCUCGACAGCCACAGUGACUGAAGCUGGU
Melanotaenia boesemani (Boeseman's rainbowfish) is the source of this 401-nucleotide non-coding RNA. NCBI's taxonomy places the organism in Eukaryota, Metazoa, Chordata, Actinopteri, Atheriniformes, Melanotaeniidae. The record is from the annotation of a RefSeq genome assembly.